AUUGAACGCUGGCGGCAUGCCUUACACAUGCAAGUCGAACGGCAGCACGGGAGCAAUCCUGGUGGCGAGUGGCGAACGGGUGAGUAAUAUAUCGGAACGUGCCCAGUCGUGGGGAUAACGUAGCGAAAGCUACGCUAAUACCGCAUGCGAUCUAUGGAUGAAAGCGGGGGAUCGCAAGACCUCGCGCGAUUGGAGCGGCCGAUAUCAGAUUAGGUAGUUGGUGAGGUAAAGGCUCACCAAGCCGACGAUCUGUAGCUGGUCUGAGAGGACGACCAGCCACACUGGGACUGAGACACGGCCCAGACUCCUACGGGAGGCAGCAGUGGGGAAUUUUUGGGACAAUGGGGGCAACCCUGAUCCAGCAAUGCCGCGUGAGUGAAGAAGG
Molecule: ribosomal RNA, 385 nt
Filed under: uncultured bacterium
Lineage: Bacteria
Description: bacterial SSU rRNA
Rfam family: Bacterial small subunit ribosomal RNA
Source: RNAcentral